Balaenoptera ricei (Rice's whale) is the source of this 1224-nucleotide long non-coding RNA. RefSeq lists it as uncharacterized. The record is from RefSeq and is a predicted model, not a curated record. Lineage: Eukaryota; Metazoa; Chordata; Mammalia; Artiodactyla; Balaenopteridae. The transcript is spliced from 4 exons.
AGAAAGGAAGAGGACAGGAAGAAGAGAGGAAGGGAAGAAGCCUCGCAGAGGCCGAGUGGCCAGGCUGGGGCCGCGGAGAGGGCAAGCGACAGCAGCCACCGCCCACGCCCGUCACAGUCUGCCCUGCUCCUGCCGCCCCUCUGCCCGUCAUGGAAGUCGUGUGGAGCAGGGGACGUCUCUGGGCAGGGACCAUCCCCAGCGCUGUAGGGACGUAAAGCAGCGAGAGAGGAGGGCUCCGAGGGCACAGACACACGGAGGGCGGACUUUCAGCCCGUCCUGCAGUGAAGGAGUGGACCUUCGGGACAGGCGGCACUCAGGCUGAGAAUGGCACUGCCCUCUGAGAAGUGGUUAUUCUCCAUGCUUCACGCCAAUCUCCUCAGCCAGCACUUCUCCUGAUCCGAGAUGCCCAUUCUGCUCUCCAAGUUUUUCUCCAGCAGUGAGCUCCUCAGCUUCCUAGACCUGAACCUGCCGAGAAUCCUCACCAGGGCCCAGGAGUAACUCCUCACCUCCCCACUUCUCUUCCCGCCUAACAAAUGACCAAAGAGGAGCCAGCUGAUCCCACACCACCUGAGGAACCUAACCCUCUGGGAACUCGCAUGCCUUUCAAAAAUCCCCACCCCAGUCCCUCUUUGCAUUUACACUGAUGCAAACCUGCCUGGAGUCCUAAUUUAGCUCUGUACCUCAGUUUUCCCAUCUGUAAGACAGAGAGGGAGUAAAAGGCAGAAAGAAGGUACUUUCUGGGCUCAUCUUGUGAUGCAUUCCUCAUGGUCAGUCACCACACCCUGUGUGUGUGUCCAUGCACGACGGGGUAGAACAGGCACAAAGCUCCUAAGCGAGGAAGGAGCAGGUCUGUUCAAGAAUUAAGAAACAGUGCAGCUUAGUUUAGCAUUUUACUCAUUCUGUCUGCUGACAAGUGCUCAUCAACUAUCAGGUGCCGGCCAUGACCACAACAAAGAUGAACAGGACGCUAUAGUAGCUGUGAAGACAGCCUGGAAAACAAACAGCAGGUCAUAAGUGCUCUAAUUCAGCCAUGAAUCCAGUGCUAGGGGACACUGAGGAAGGAGUGAGUGAUAAACCCCUUCUGGGGUCAGGGGAGUCAGGAACAGCUCUCCGCAGAAACUGUACCUCCCUGCCAGUCCCAGGGAGACAGGACAGGGAGAGCACCCCAGGCAGAAGGGACAGUUGAACAAAGGUGUGUAGGGGAAGGGCAAGUGGUUUGGGCAA